CCUACGGGAGGCAGCAGUGAGGAAUAUUGGUCAAUGGACGAGAGUCUGAACCAGCCACGUAGCGUGAAGGAUGACUGCCCUAUGGGUUGUAAACUUCUUUUAUAUGGGAAUAAACUGUUCCACGUGUGGGAUUUUGUAUGUACCAUAUGCAUAAGGAUCGGCUCACUCCGUGCCAGCAGCCGCGGUACUACGGAGGAUACGAGCGUUAUCCGGAUUUAUUGGGUUUAAAGGGAGCGUAGGUGGAUUGUUAAGUCAGUUGUGAAAGUUUGCGGCUCAACCGUAAAAUUGCAGUUGAAACUGGCAGUCUUGAGUACAGUAGAGGUGGGCGGAAUUCGUGGUGUAGCGGUGAAAUGCUUAGAUAUCACGAAGAACUCCGAUUGCGAAGGCAGCCUACUAAACUGCCACUGACAUUGAUGCUCGAAAGUGUGGGUAUCAAACAGGAUUAGAUACCCUGGUAGUC
This 460-nucleotide ribosomal RNA is filed under the name uncultured bacterium. RNAcentral's name for it is "partial 16S ribosomal RNA". It matches the Rfam family "Bacterial small subunit ribosomal RNA", at positions 338 to 795 of the family's 1533-position model. The record is from RNAcentral.